AUUAAAAUGAGGACAACCCAUUCAAAGGCGUUUUUCAGAAACCUUUUUUCUCUUUUCCUUCAGAUUGAAAACCUGUCCCUGAGAAUUUAAGCCCUUCUCGUGGUACCUGCUCUCCCAGGGACGCUCGCUGUACCCCGGAACUUCCCUGGGGCCUCACUGCCCAGUGACGCCACUCACCUUGCCCACUGGCACCAGCGUGAAGUCAGAACCGCUGGAGGAAAUCCUGCCGGCCUUCCCUGGAGCUGGUCUGCAGGCUCCUCUGUGGGAUCCUGUCCUCCAAGAGCACCCCUCCUGCACACAGAGAGCCCAGAGUGCCUCGGGGAAAAUUGGCUGAAUAAAAGGUAUAAAGACUUUUUCUUUUUUUGCUGAAUAGUUUUUGACAGAUAUGAGCAUGUUGAACAUCUUG
Chinchilla lanigera (long-tailed chinchilla) is the source of this 406-nucleotide long non-coding RNA. The record is from Ensembl. NCBI's taxonomy places the organism in Eukaryota, Metazoa, Chordata, Mammalia, Rodentia, Chinchillidae.